Papaver somniferum (opium poppy) is the source of this 782-nucleotide RNA transcript. RefSeq lists it as uncharacterized. The record is from RefSeq and is a predicted model, not a curated record. The transcript has 2 exons. Lineage: Eukaryota; Viridiplantae; Streptophyta; Magnoliopsida; Ranunculales; Papaveraceae.
UUUGGGAUUCAUUUAAAGUUCAAGUUCUGGACUCUCUUAUCGGUACAUACUCAAUUACCAUUCACUGUAACUCUCUCUAAUUCUUUUGAAUGAAUGUUCGCUUGAGUAUACGCUCCUUGUGCUUAUAAUACUGAUGAAGUGGAGUUAUUCUGGAGGGAGGUUGAAGAAGUAAGAUGUUUUCGGAAUUAUCCAUGGUAAUUUGUGGUCAUUACAAUGAAAUGAAGUAUUCAAUGAGAGAUCUUAUAGGAGAGAUGUUACUACUGGAUCGAGGAAAUUCAAUAUUUUCAUAUUUAGACAUCAGUUGGUUGAUCCACCUCUUAUUGGUGCUACUUACAUCUGGACUAACAAUCAAUUCCAAUCUAUUAGAAGUAGAAUUGAUCGACUUCUAAUGCCCGCUUCUUGGGAAUCCAUGCAUGAAUCCACAAGUCAUUCAACAAGCUCUUGCUAGGCCUUUUUCUUAUCACAAUCUAAUAACUUUGUUUUGUGAAGGUGUGAAGCUGGUCGUUCUCCAUUUCGAUUGCAGGCUAUGUCUUUUGUAAGAAACUACAAUUACUACACUAAAGUUAAGGAGUGGAGUAAAGAAGUAUUUAGCGAUUUUGAAAAAAGAUUUGACGAGCUGGAGAAUACUUUUAUGGAUCUAUAUGCUGGGGAAAGUGCAAAUAAUGGCGUAAAUGAAGAGAAACCUGGGGAGAGAAUUAAAGCAAGGCAAGAUUACUUCAAGCAUACAAUUAUUAGAGCAGAGAAAUGCUGAAGUAGAUCAAGGAUGACUCAUAUGAAAUAUU